GGGAUAGCCACUGGAAACGGUGAUUAAUACCUUAUAAAACUGUAGUAUCGCAUGAUACAUCAGUCAAAUGCUCCGGCGGUACAAGAUGGACCCGCGUCUGAUUAGCUAGUUGGUAGGGUAACGGCCUACCAAGGCGACGAUCAGUAGCCGACCUGAGAGGGUGAUCGGCCACACUGGAACUGAGACACGGUCCAGACUCCUACGGGAGGCAGCAGUGGGAAUAUUGCACAAUGGGCGCAAGCCUGAUGCAGCAACGCCGCGUGAGCGAAGAAGGUUUUCGGAUCGUAAAGCUCUGUCCUAAGGGAAGAAUAAUGACGGUACCUUAGGAGGAAGCCCCGGCUAACUACGCGCCAGCAGCCGCGGUAAUACGUAGGGGGCAAGCGUUAUCCGGAAUCACUGGGCGUAAAGGGUGCGUAGGCGGUUAAUCAAGUCAGAAGUGAAAGGCUAUGGCUCAACCAUAGUAAGCUUUUGAAACUGAUUAACUUGAAUACAGGAGAGGUAAGUGGAAUUCCUAGUGUAGCGGUGAAAUGCGUAGAGAUUAGGAGGAACACCAGUGGCGAAGGCGACUUACUGGACUGUUAUUGACGCUGAGGCACGAAAGCGUGGGGAGCGAACAGGAUUAGAUACCCUGGUGGUCCACGCCGUAAACGAUGAAUACUAGGUGUCGGGAGUCGAAUCUCGGUGCCGCAGCUAACGCAUUAAGUAUUCCGCCUGGGGAGUACGCACGCAAGUGUGAAACUCAAAGGAAUUGACGGGGACCCGCACAAGCAGCGGAGCAUGUGGUUUAAUUCGAAGCAACGCGAAGAACCUUACCAAAUCUUGACAUCUCUCUGAUCGCUACUUAAUAGUAGCUUCUCUUCGGAGCAGAGAUGACAGAUGGUGCAUGGUUGUCGUCAGCUCGUGUCGUGAGAUGUUGGGUUAAGUCCCGCAACGAGCGCAACCCUUGUCUUUAGUUGCCAUCAAGUAAUGUUGGGCACUCUAGAGAGACUGCCGGGGAUAACUCGGAGGAAGGUGGGGAUGACGUCAAAUCAUCAUGCCCCUUAUGAUUUGGGCUACACACGUGCUACAAUGGUCGGUACAACGGGCAGCGAAGGGGUGACCUGGAGCGAAUCCUAAAAAGCCGAUCCCAGUUCGGAUUGUAGGCUGCAACUCGCCUACAUGAAGUUGGAGUUGCUAGUAAUCGUGAAUCAGAAUGUCGCGGUGAAUGCGUUCCCGGGUCUUGUACACACCGCCCGUCACACCAUGGAAGUUGGGGGCGCCCGAAGCCAGUGAUCCAACCGUAAGGAG
Molecule: ribosomal RNA, 1287 nt
Filed under: metagenome
Description: bacterial SSU rRNA
Rfam family: Bacterial small subunit ribosomal RNA
Source: RNAcentral